UAGGGAAUCUUCCGCAAUGGACGAAAGUCUGACGGAGCAACGCCGCGUGAGUGAAGAAGGAUUUCGGUUCGUAAAACUCUGUUGUUAGGGAAGAAAAAAUGUAUAGUAACUAUAUACAAAAGAGACGGUACCUAACCAGAAAGCCACGGCUAACUACGUGCCAGCAGCCGCGGUAAUACGUAGGUGGCAAGCGUUGUCCGGAAUUAUUGGGCGUAAAGCGCGCGCAGGUGGUUUAGAAAGUCUGAUGUGAAAGCCCACGGCUCAACCGUGGAGGGUCAAUGGAAACUAAAAAACUUGAGUGCAGGAGAGAAAAGUGGAAUUCCUAGGGUAGCGGGGAAAUGCGUAGAGAUUAGGAGGAACAACGGUGGCGAAAGCGGCUUUUUGGCCUGCAAAUGACACUGAGGGGCGAAAGCGUGGGGAGCAAACAGG
Molecule: ribosomal RNA, 429 nt
Filed under: Verrucomicrobiota bacterium
Lineage: Bacteria; Pseudomonadati; Verrucomicrobiota
Description: Verrucomicrobia bacterium partial 16S ribosomal RNA
Rfam family: Bacterial small subunit ribosomal RNA
Source: RNAcentral